AGAAUGCAAAUGCUGAGAAAUUAAACAGACCAUAAGGAGACAUCUGUGUAGAAUGAGAGAAUUUCAUCGUUUUCACCCUGAGCUGGGGACAGAGAUUUUGCUUCCAUUAUUUUCCUUUUCUACAACUGUAUAUUCAACAAGAUGUCUCCACACUAGUGGCAGGAACUUGAACGGUGCUCACCUGUGAGGGGAGAUUUUUCAGCUACAACUAACAGGUGAGUGUCUUGAACUUGGUCUAUUCCCAGCCUUGUUGAGUUUCAUCUUUUACAUUUCAGAGGAGAAUUCAGCCCCAGACUCAAGAUGAGACUCG
This 310-nucleotide long non-coding RNA is filed under the name Fukomys damarensis (Damara mole-rat). RNAcentral's name for it is "lncRNA (ENSFDAG00000033410.1)". Lineage: Eukaryota; Metazoa; Chordata; Mammalia; Rodentia; Bathyergidae. The record is from RNAcentral.